This 1018-nucleotide long non-coding RNA is filed under the name Vulpes vulpes (red fox). RNAcentral describes it as "lncRNA (ENSVVUG00000022365.1)". The record is from RNAcentral. Lineage: Eukaryota; Metazoa; Chordata; Mammalia; Carnivora; Canidae.
AUGUUAACCUUGUGCUCUUGCCCAGUGGCCUCUCCUCCUAGGGACUGGCCCGUCCUCCCUGAAGUCCUGCUGUUUAACCAGCGAGGCGCAGAGAAGCAGGCAGCUAGUCCCCCUAAUGUGUCACUGUCCUUUGGGUGCCCUGUCACAGGUGGCGACUGUCCCCUGGUCCUCUGCGGGGGAGGAGCUGAUGGCUGGGGCAGCUCUGGGGGACCCUGGGGCAGAGGCACCCCCAGGGCCAGAAGUCCCAAAUCCUUAGUAAAUCUCUCUCUCUGUUCCUCAUCCUGGGCGGAGUUGGAAGGUCCCUUCCAAUGGCUGCAUUGGUUUUCAGUGAGAAUCUUCUUUCAAUCGAUGACCUGCAAUAUUGCUAUCGUGGUGGACUCUCUGCAAAAGGCUCGAGGGCCCUAUCAGACUGAAGGAAAUUAGUAACCCAUCUUUCUUCAUUGCAAUGUGUGUGUUCAGUCUUAGGUUCUUGGAGAAUGCUGAGAAGAAUGUACAGAUAUUUCCCAUAUAGCCCUGCGUUCCCCACUGUUAACAUCCCCACCAGAAAGGUACACUCGUCACAUCUGCUGGACCUAUGCUGAUACAAGGUGACCACCCGAAGCCCAGAGUUGACCUGGAGUACCAUACAUCCUGUGGGUUUAGACGAACAUACGAUGGCAUGUUUUUACCCUUGAGGUACUACGCAGAAUAGUUUCAUUGCCUUAAAAACUCUCCGUGCUCUGCCUAUCCUACUCAUGCCCCUGCCCCCUCCAGACCACCCCAAUCUGUUUACUGUCUCCAGUGUUGCCAGAAUGUCCUAGAGUUGGAAUCAUACGGUAUGUAGCCUUUCUCUGAUGGGCUUCGCUCACUUAGUGAUACGUGUUUAAGUUUCCUGCGUGUCUUUUCAUGCCCUGACGGUCAGCUCAUGUCUUUUUAGCGCUGAAAAAAUUCCAUCGUCUGCAAUGCAACAUAGCUCCAUUCACCUACCUGGUUGAUCCCACGUUUUGGGAAUUAUGAAUAAAGCUGCUAUCAACAUCCA